Molecule: ribosomal RNA, 368 nt
Filed under: uncultured marine gamma proteobacterium DHB-41
Lineage: Bacteria; Pseudomonadati; Pseudomonadota; Gammaproteobacteria
Description: bacterial SSU rRNA
Rfam family: Bacterial small subunit ribosomal RNA
Source: RNAcentral
UUGGGCACUUUAGGGGGACUGCCGGUGACAAACCGGAGGAAGGUGGGGACGACGUCAAGUCAUCAUGGCCCUUACGACCAGGGCUACACACGUGCUACAAUGGAGCGUACAAAGGGUUGCAACCUCGCGAGAGUGAGCUAAUCCCACAAAACGUUUCGUAGUCCGGAUCGCAGUCUGCAACUCGACUGCGUGAAGUCGGAAUCGCUAGUAAUCGUGAAUCAGAAUGUCACGGUGAAUACGUUCCCGGGCCUUGUACACACCGCCCGUCACACCAUGGGAGUGGGUUGCAAAAGAAGUGGGUAGCAUAACCUUCGGGAGUGCGCUCACCACUUUGUGAAUUCAUGACUGGGGUGAAGUCGUAACAAGGU